RNAcentral lists this transfer RNA (72 nucleotides) under Spirochaetia bacterium. RNAcentral's name for it is "tRNA-Pro". It matches the Rfam family "tRNA". From Rfam's summary of the family: Transfer RNA (tRNA) molecules are approximately 80 nucleotides in length. Lineage: Bacteria; Pseudomonadati; Spirochaetota; Spirochaetia. The record is from RNAcentral.
CUGCAUAUAGCCCAAUGGUAGGGUGCUUGCUUUGGGAGCAAGAGGUUGAAGGUUCAAGCCCUUCUAUGCAGA